CUUAAGGUUAAGGAGUGACCCAGGAGGAUAGGCGGAUCGUGCCCAUUGGACAUGGUGCGUCGCUGGCCCGUAGGCGUCUGAUGAUAGGAAAAUCCUUCGUCAGGUUAAGCGGAGGGGUCGGAGCUAGGUGGAGACAUUGUCAAAGCCAAGUCCGUUGAGUCCACACUGGCAAGAAAAGCUUCGUAACUAGCACUGUUGGUGCCCGUACCGCAAACCGACACUGGUGGGCGGGGGUAAGUACCCUUAGGUGAUCGAGAUAACCCUCGUUAAGGAACUCGGCAAAAUAGCUCCGUAACUUCGGGAUAAGGAGCGCCACGGUUGGUGAACGUCCUCGCGACUGGAGCUGACUGUGGCCGCAGGGAGCCGGCCCAGGCGACUGUUUACCAAAAACAUAGGUCUCUGCCAACCCGUAAGGGGAUGUAUAGGGGCUGACGCCUGCCCAGUGCUGGAAGGUUAAGGGGAGAGGUUAACGCUUUGAACCGAAGCCCCAGUGAACGGCGGCCGUAACUAUAACGGUCCUAAGGUAGCGAAAUUCCUCGGGUAAGUUCCGACCCGCACGAAUGGCGUAACGAUCUGGGCACUGUCUCAACGAGGGACUCGGCGAAAUUGAAGUACCCGUGAAGAUGCGGGUUACCCGCACCAGGACAAAUAGACCCCGUGGAGCUUUACUGUAACUUGCCAUUGAUAGUGAGCUAGUGAUGCGUAGGAUAGGUGGGAGACUGUGAAUCUGGGCUUCCGGGCUCAGAGGAGUCAACGUUGAAAUACCACUCUUCACAUGUUUACUUUCUAACCUCUGAUCAAGCAGCGGGACAAUGGCUGGUGGGCAGUUUGACUGGGGCGGCCGCCUCCCAAAAGGUAACGGAGGCGCCUAAAGGUUCCCUCAGGGUGGAUGGAAAUCACCCGUCGCGUGCAUUGGCAUAAGGGAGCUUGACUGUAAGGCCAACAAGCCGAGCAGGGACGAAAGUCGAGCAAAGUGAUCUUACGGUUCCGAGUGGAAGGGCCGUGACUUAACGGAUAUAAGUUACCCCGGGGAUAACAGGCUUAUCUUGCCCAAGCGUUCACAGCGACGGCAAGGUUUGGCACCUCGAUGUCGGCUCGUCACAUCCUGGGGCUGGAGCAGGUCCCAAGGGUCCGGCUGAUCGCCGGUUAAAGUGGCACGCGAGCUGGGUUCAGAACGUCGUGAGACAGUUCGGCCUCUAUCCGGUGUGGGCGUAGGAAAAUUGAGAAGAGCUGCCCCUAGUACGAGAGGACCGGGGUGGACGAACCGCUGGUGUACCGGUUGUCCUGCCAAGGGCACUGCCGGGUAGCCAAGUUCGGAAGGGAUAAGCGCUGAAAGCAUCUAAGUGCGAAGCCCACUUCAAGAUUAGUUUUCCCAUCCGCAAGGAGUAAGACCACGGGUAGACCACCCGUUUGAUAGGCGGCAUGUGUAAGGGCAGCAAUGUCUUCAGCUAAGCCGUACUAAUGGUCGAGGGCUUGACCU
RNAcentral lists this ribosomal RNA (1480 nucleotides) under metagenome. RNAcentral describes it as "bacterial LSU rRNA". It matches the Rfam family "Bacterial large subunit ribosomal RNA", at positions 1455 to 2925 of the family's 2925-position model. The record is from RNAcentral.